CUUAGUGGUAUUUCGUCUGCUGCUACGUUCUGAGUUCAAAUUCUGCUGGGGUCAACUUUGCCUUUCAUCCUUUUAGGGUCAAUGAAAUAAAAGUCCCAGUCAAGACCGAUCUAAUCAACUAACUCCACUAACCGCUCCCCAACCACUGGCCUCACUGCAUUAUUAUUGUUGUUGCUGUUGUCGUUGUCAUCAUCAUCAUCAUCAUUAUUGAUAAUAAUAUAAAGAAAUAAAUAACUGCUAUCAUUGCAACAACUAUUCUUAUUACUACUACUACUACUACUGCUACUACUCAAUAUUUUUAUAGACAAUUGUAGUUAUUUACUGAAAAUUGUAAAAUAUAAAUAAAAAUAUUUAAUAAGGUGG
Octopus sinensis (East Asian common octopus) is the source of this 363-nucleotide long non-coding RNA. RefSeq lists it as uncharacterized. The transcript is spliced from 2 exons. NCBI's taxonomy places the organism in Eukaryota, Metazoa, Mollusca, Cephalopoda, Octopoda, Octopodidae. The record is from RefSeq and is a predicted model, not a curated record.